GACGAACGCUGGCGGCGUGCUUAACACAUGCAAGUCGAACGGAAAGGCCCUGCUUGUGUGGGGUGCUCGAGUGGCGAACGGGUGAGUAACACGGGAGUAACCUGCCCUUGACUUUGGGAUAACUGCAGGAAACUGGGGCUAAUACCGGAUAGGAGCUCCUGCUGCAUGGGGGGGGUUGGAAAGUUUCGGCGGUUGGGGGUGGACUCGCGGCUUAUCAGCUUGUUGGGGGGGGAGUGGCUUACCAAGGCUUUGACGGGUGGCCGGCCUGGGGGGGUGACCGGCCACAUUGGGACUGAGAUCGGGCCAAGCCUCCUCCGGGAGGAAGCAGUGGGGAAUAUUGCACAAUGGGCGGAAGCCUAAUGCAGCAACGCCGCGUGCGGGAUGACGGCCUUCGGGUUGUAACCCGCUUUCGCCCGUGACGAAGCGUGAGUGACGGUAAUGGGUAAAGAAGCACCGGCUAACUACGUG
RNAcentral lists this ribosomal RNA (468 nucleotides) under uncultured bacterium. RNAcentral describes it as "partial 16S ribosomal RNA". It matches the Rfam family "Bacterial small subunit ribosomal RNA", at positions 28 to 507 of the family's 1533-position model. The record is from RNAcentral.